GUAGGUGAACCUGCGGAAGGAUCAUUACCGAGAGACGGGGUCCAACCGGCCCCAACUCUUCACCCGUGUAUACCAAACUCACGUUGCUUUGGCGGGCCGUCGAACGUUUUCGCGGGAGGCCCCACACAAGCCUCCUCGUGCCCGCCGAAGGCCUCAAUAAAUUCUGUUAUCAGUGUCGUCCGAGUCAACGCAAUAGUUAAAACUUUCAACAACGGAUCUCUUGGUUCCGGCAUCGAUGAAGAACGCAGCA
This 250-nucleotide unclassified non-coding RNA is filed under the name plant metagenome. Its description in RNAcentral is "partial contains small subunit ribosomal RNA, internal transcribed spacer 1, and 5.8S ribosomal RNA". The stretch from base 201 to 250 matches the Rfam family "5.8S ribosomal RNA", at positions 1 to 50 of the family's 154-position model. The record is from RNAcentral.